Molecule: long non-coding RNA, 1465 nt
Filed under: Anser cygnoides (Swan goose)
Lineage: Eukaryota; Metazoa; Chordata; Aves; Anseriformes; Anatidae
Description: lncRNA (ENSACDG00005011798.1)
Source: RNAcentral
UUAGUUUCAGCUGUAGCAGAAUCUGAUGUCAGCCUGGUAAUUACUAGGCAGAGUCAAUAAUACCUCUCCUCAGUAUAAUUGCAAAUCCAGUACAACCAUGACCAGAACUAAAUUGCUUGAGAGCAAUCAAUAGAAAUCUCCUGAUUGCAUUCUCAGAUGUACACAUCAGAUGUAAAAAGAAAAACUGUCCAUCCAAGCAAAAGAUCAACUUUACAAAUGAAAACUGCAGUAUAAGGCUAGGAAGAAGUAUGUUCACACAGAAGCCUUGUAGUUAACUCUGGCUAGAAGUAACAGGUCUGAAUGGGAACAUGUAUAUUUUGAAAAACAGAGGCUAUGCCUACAUGAGCAGCGAUUUGAUGCAACUGGAGUACUAGAUUCAUGUAGAUGAUGAUGAGUUCCCAAUAUUUGUUCUCUGUGUGGUUUGUGGCUUUCACUCAGACUAAAUUUAGUUGGUUUCAUCACACCAAAUAUUCUCAUCACAUGUGGUUCAAAGCUGUUGAAACACCAAACUUUAACUCAGGUGUCUGUGUCACCAUUAUGGGCUGGACAUCAUUAGGUUUGCACCUGGAAUGGAAACUUCUGUCUCAGUUUCUUCUGUGAGGAAUGUAGUUCAAAUACACCAAAACCACUGUGAGGAUCAAAGCAAAGUAUGACAUCAUCAAGAAGGAGUUGGUGGCAGUUACUGAAGUUGAUGAAUAUGACUGAAAUUUCCAUGGUGGUUUCUGUGUUGUGGGGGUUGCUUGAGGAAGCCCCCAUAGAAUCCCGCAUCAGCAGUGAGAAUGCUGUCUUCAAAGAGGAGGAAGACAAGGAAGAAGAGGAGAAAGAGAAGGAAGAGAAAGAAGAGGAGGAAGAGGCGCACUGGAUGUGUUUGCUGUAAAACCCAAUCCCAACUUAAGGAAACAUUGUAAAAUAGAAAGAGAUGAGCACUGACAGGAGGGGAAAGACGGAGAGCAGACAUGUAACCACUGACUGUUUCCAUGAGCAGGAAAGUGACGUAAGCUUCAAAGUGAGGCUGUGUUUCAAGUCUGCACAUAUUUCCAUAGCUCUUGCCAUUUAUCAGUUCUAGGAAUCUGUAAACACCGAAGACCAUAUCCUAGAUUUGGCUUUGCUAAACAGUUCUUUCCAUUAGGUCCUUAAAGGAAUAGGAAGGAACUUGGGAAGUUUAAAGAGAUUCAGAUAUGUGUGAGUAUUCUCAAAGCAUUUAUCAGCCAUGGUUUUGAGCACAUAAGUUAAAGCAGAAUUGCUGAUUUCAAAAUGAAAGAGGUUAUGCAGUCAUUUGUAGCUGAUUUUAAGUUAUUUUUGGUGUGAGUUCUGCAUUGAUUAUGCUCCUGGAUUUACUGUUUUCAAAAUAUAUUUUCCAGAUUUUGUCCAUGUUUCAUGAUGCUUAAAAGCUGUUCACCAGUGACGUCUCAGAGAAAAAUUCAUGAAAAAUAAAGAUGUAUUACUGCUUUUUAAUAUAUGAUCC